CACGUAGGGUGCGAGCGUUGUCCGGAAUUAUUGGGCGUAAAGAGCUCGUAGGCGGUCCGUCACGUCGGAUGUGAAAUUCCAGGGCUCAACCCUGGACCUGCAUUCGAUACGGGCGGACUAGAGUUCGGUAGGGGAGACUGGAAUUCCUGGUGUAGCAGUGAAAUGCGUAGAGAUCAUAAGGAAGACCAGUGGCGAAGGCGGGUCUCUGGACAGUUCCUGACACUGAGGCACGAAGGCCAGGGGAGCAAACGGG
RNAcentral lists this ribosomal RNA (253 nucleotides) under uncultured bacterium. RNAcentral describes it as "partial 16S ribosomal RNA". It matches the Rfam family "Bacterial small subunit ribosomal RNA", at positions 524 to 776 of the family's 1533-position model. The record is from RNAcentral.